Molecule: ribosomal RNA, 492 nt
Filed under: uncultured bacterium
Lineage: Bacteria
Description: partial 16S ribosomal RNA
Rfam family: Bacterial small subunit ribosomal RNA
Source: RNAcentral
AGUGAACGCUGGCGGUAGGCCUAACACAUGCAAGUCGAACGGCAGCACAGUAAGAGCUUGCUCUUACGGGUGGCGAGUGGCGGACGGGUGAGGAAUACAUCGGAAUCUACUUUUUCGUGGGGGAUAACGUAGGGAAACUUACGCUAAUACCGCAUACGACCUACGGGUGAAAGCAGGGGAUCUUCGGACCUUGCGCGAUUGAAUGAGCCGAUGUCGGGUUAGCUAGUUGGGGGGGGAAAGGCCCACCAAGGCGACGAUCCGUAGCUGGUCUGAGAGGAUGAGUAGCCACACUGGACCUGAGCCACGGUCCAGACUCCUACGGGAGGCAGCGGUGGGGAAUAUUGGACAAUGGGCGCAAGCCUGAUCCAGACCUACCGCGUGGGUGAAGAAGGCCUUCGGGUUGUAAAGCCCUUUUGUUGGGAAAGAAAAGCAGCAGGUUAAUACCCCGCUGUUCUGACGGUACCCAAAGAAUAAGCACCGGCUAACUUCGUG